RNAcentral lists this ribosomal RNA (200 nucleotides) under uncultured eukaryote. RNAcentral's name for it is "partial 18S ribosomal RNA". It matches the Rfam family "Eukaryotic small subunit ribosomal RNA", at positions 588 to 795 of the family's 1831-position model. The record is from RNAcentral.
GCUCCAAUAGCGUAUAUUAAAGUUGUUGCGGUUAAAAAGCUCGUAGUUGGAGUUCUGCCAGGUGACGCUCGUCCGCCAAGUGGUGUGUACAGGGCGUGCAUCUGGCCUUUCAAGGGGAACGUGUCUGCACUUCAUUGUGUGGUGCGAGAUCCUUGACUUUUACUUUGAGUAAAUUAGAGUGUUCAAAGCAGGCCACCGCU